Molecule: long non-coding RNA, 632 nt
Filed under: Numida meleagris (helmeted guineafowl)
Lineage: Eukaryota; Metazoa; Chordata; Aves; Galliformes; Numididae
Description: lncRNA (ENSNMEG00000017895.1)
Source: RNAcentral
UACUGAUUUCUGAACUUCGAGGUGUGGAAAAUGUGGACAAGAAUGUGUUAACUACUCUUCAAUUUCUUUCAUUCUUAAUCAGUGUGCUGAGGGCAGUAAGUCUCUCUGGAACUGUUGAGAUUGCCAACAACUAAAUGAUCAACCAUCCCGACCUUGCCUGAGAAAGAGCACAAUACUUACAUUGGCACAAAAUCAUAAGUGGAACGACAUGAAAUAGUAAACACAAAUAAAUUAGUCUACAGACAAUCCCUGUCUAAAGAAAUUGCAAUGAGAUAAAAAACAUCAUGGGACUAAUAUUGAAUUUCUAAAAAGUGUGGAUGGGAAUUGAUAUUUUGGGAUUGCAGACUGAAGGGUUGAGGCAGGAUCCAUGUACAACUCUGAACUAUGAUAACUGAAAAGGAACCUCCCAACUUUUCACUUGGAGCUGCUAAAUGUGCUUGCAUACUUGGAUAUUGAAGACAGCUGCUCCAAAAACAGGUACUGCAUUGCAGAUGAUCUUUGUUUGGUCACACCAACUGGAGGAGUAUGGGGAGUCCUGACCUAAGAGACUCACUUUCCUGAAGGAACUAGGAUGACACUUUUUUAAAAUACAUUCCACAGGAUCAAGUGGUAGUUACAGAACAGAACUUCUA